UGAGCAACCUGCCCUUCUCAUCGGAAUAAGCGUUGGAAACGACGUCUAAUGCCGAAUACGACCUCCUUUCGCAUGAUCGGAGGUGGAAAGCUCCGGCGGAGAAGGAUGAGCUCGCGGCCUAUCGGCUAGUUGGUGUGGGUAAUGGCCCACCAAGGCGACGACGGGUAGCCGGCCUGAGAGGGUGACCGGCCACACUGGGACCGAGACACGGCCCAGACCUCCGUACGGGAGCAGNAGGU
This 239-nucleotide ribosomal RNA is filed under the name uncultured bacterium. Its description in RNAcentral is "partial 16S ribosomal RNA". It matches the Rfam family "Bacterial small subunit ribosomal RNA", at positions 118 to 354 of the family's 1533-position model. The record is from RNAcentral.